Ctenopharyngodon idella (grass carp) is the source of this 1142-nucleotide non-coding RNA. Lineage: Eukaryota; Metazoa; Chordata; Actinopteri; Cypriniformes; Xenocyprididae. The record is from the annotation of a RefSeq genome assembly.
CACAUAACAAUCGAAAGAAUCACAUUCCCAAACUGACAAUUCAGACACAGAACAAAAGUCUGAUGGAACACAUUCAAAGACCCAUGUUACAUAUAAAUUACAUAUAAUAAUUUUCUACAAACCCAAAGUCAUUAUGUGAUGUAACUACUACCAGCAUUUAUAUAUAAAAAAAAUAAUAUGUGCAAGGAGAAAAAAACAGUAUGCAGACUUUAUUUUCUUUGGAGGAAACUACUCAAAUUAAACUUGGUUUUCAUUUUGUAAUGCUUUUGGGUAACCAUAUGCAUAUUCAUUAUCAAGCAUCAUUACAGGAUUAUAAUAGCUCCACCUUUUCUAUUUACAAAAUAACAGAUAUCUCAUUUACAGAUUACUCAUUUGUUAAUUUAUUUGUCUAUACAAUAAAAAUGAUUCAAAGCUGGAAUAGGCAACUACAUAAAAAGGCUUACAAAGCCAUUUUAAUUGGCACCACAUAAUUUCACAAAAUGACAUAAUUUUCCCAUAUCAUAGCACUGUUAAUAUUAUUGGUUCAUUAAUCAUUCAUAUUUUUUCUUAAAUCAUCUGUAAAAUAAAUAAAUAUAUGUAUAUUUCUUGCAGUUGCAAAAGUUGUCCUCUAGGCAAUGGCAGAGCGAAAACAUGAGAAGUGGAGCAUCACAUUGAAAGCAGGAAGUUCCAGCGUGUUUAUGUGUGAAACUGCAGAGACUCACAGUAACACAGAGCUACAGCUCAGAGCACGGAGAACAUUAAUACACAAUUCAUAUGACCGAGUAAACAUGGAAAAACACCUGUUUCUGAUUUUAUUUCUGAUUUCAGGUGUGAUGACUGCAGACAAGAUUGGGCCAAAAGAAGAAACUCUUAUAAAGAAGGAAGGCGAGACUGUGACCCUCAGCUGCUCAUAUGAUACAGACAGCAGUUAUGUUAGACUUUACUGGUACAGACAGUAUCUUAAUGGAGAGCCUCAGUAUUUACUAUAUAAGGCGGCACGAUCUAGUAGUGGUACUGGGAACCCCUCUGAUCGCCGCUUUCAGUCGACUACAUCUCAAACAUCCACUGAACUCAAGAUUAAUGGAGUGACUCUGUCAGAUUCAGCUCUCUAUUAUUGUGCUCUAAGAGUAGGAGAGCAGCCCAGUGAUACAAAGUCUAUGUGA